Molecule: ribosomal RNA, 636 nt
Filed under: uncultured bacterium
Lineage: Bacteria
Description: bacterial SSU rRNA
Rfam family: Bacterial small subunit ribosomal RNA
Source: RNAcentral
UGCAAGUCGAACGUGAAAGUCCCGCAAGGGAUGAGUAAAGUGGCGAACGGGUGAGUAAUACAUAGGUAAUCUACUUAUAAGCUCGGGAUAACAGUUCGAAAGGACUGCUAAUACCGAAUAAUGUAUCGCAUCACAAGAUGCGAUACCAAAGAUGGCCUCUUAACAAUGCUAUCGAUUAUAAAUGGGCCUAUGGACCAUUAGUUAGUUGGUAGGGUAAUGGCCUACCAAGACAAAGAUGGUUAGCUGGUCUGAGAGGAUGAUCAGCCACACUGGAACUGAAACACGGUCCAGACUCCUACGGGAGGCAGCAGUGGGGAAUAUUGCGCAAUGGGGGAAACCCUGACGCAGCAACGCCGUGUGAGCGAUGAAGGCCUUCGGGUUGUAAAGCUCUGUUAAAUAAGAAGAAACUCCCAUAUUCUAAUACAAUAUGGGAUUGACGGUAUUAUUAGAGAAAGCACCGGCUAACUCCGUGCCAGCAGCCGCGGUAAGACGGGGGGUGCAAGCGUUGUUCGGAAUUACUGGGCGUAAAGGGCGUGUAGGCGGUUUAAUAAGUUAGGUGUGAAAUCUUCAGGCUCAACCUGAAAAGUGCACUUAAAACUGUUAGACUAGAGAGUGGUAGGGGGAAGCGGAAUUCCU